CCCGGGACCCGGCUCUCAAGAGCAGGUGUUACGGGCCUGGGGCCCGAGGCGCCCAGGUGAGGCACGGGUGGGACUCCGGGUCCUUAGUUUUCCGGGCUGAGGGGUGUACCCCCUCGGGCUACAGAGAGUCCCAGAGGGCGGGCAGGUAUAGGAGUCACCCCGAGGCCCCAGGGAACGGGCUACGGUCCGCAGAGCCUCCAGAGCAGAAUCCACGAGUUUUCUGUGACCGGCCACCAGGCUGUAGACGUGGGGUGGGCAGUUCGGCUCUCGGGCAGAGGAGGGUACGGGAGCCCAGGCGCUCCGACCAACAGGGUUCCGGACCCACUCAGGCUCAUGGGGCACAGGACCCGUACACUGCAGUGAACGGGGUUCAGAACCCAGACACUCAGAAUGAUGGGGUUCAGCUUCCACACGCUCUGUAAUGGGGUUCAAGACCCCAGGCAUGACCCCAUCAUUCUGAGCUCGCGGGAGGCCUAGGACAGGUGUCCCAGACACCUGGGCGGGCCCAGCACACAGAUGAAUGGCGCACACGGCCACAGACGAGGGUGAUAUGCGCAGGUAGGGGUGGACCGAGCCCAGGGCGUCCGAGCCACAGGAACGAGGCCACCGGGGGGGCCUGGCCCAGCACUCAGGCCCACGGGAGACAUGUCAGUGCAGGACUCAGGUGCCCACGGGGCCAACCGGUGAGCAGGAGAAGGGGGCCCACCGGACCUUGGCCGCCACGGUCCCAGGAGGGGCCCCCAGGGCCCGGGUCACGGAGAAUCCCGGUUUUCGGACCUGGGAGCUGGAUUACAAGCUGCGCUCGCAGUCAGCCGCGGAAGUGGGUGUCCCCUGAGCGUCCAGGUGAACGGGGAAUAUCCACCCAGACCGUCCACAGAGUGGGAGUCACGCCCCCAGAAAUCCAGGGGGCCCACAGACUCCCAGAGGAAGGGGGCAGAGGCGGCGUGGGUCACAGGGCUGGGGCAAGCUCCCGGCCACCCCGAGCCAGCGUUCGCCCUGAGUUCCAACCUCAAACAUUCCCCAGGCAACCUCAAAGGAAGCACCCCCGUCCAGGAGCCCCGCCAGGGUCUCCGUGCGGCUGUCGGCUGCCAAGCCGCCGUCUCGGGGGCCGCAGGGCUGGCCGGGGGCUGCCAGCUC
This 1137-nucleotide long non-coding RNA is filed under the name Felis catus (domestic cat). RNAcentral's name for it is "lncRNA (ENSFCAG00000049686.1)". The record is from RNAcentral. Lineage: Eukaryota; Metazoa; Chordata; Mammalia; Carnivora; Felidae.